This 505-nucleotide ribosomal RNA is filed under the name uncultured bacterium. RNAcentral describes it as "partial 16S ribosomal RNA". The record is from RNAcentral.
GGAGUUAGCCGGUGCUUCUUCUGUGAGUGAUGUCCUUCCUGCCGGUUAUUGACCCGCAGGCCUUCUUCCUCACUGAAAGUGCUUUACAACCCGAAGGCCUUCUUCACACACGCGGCAUGGCUGGAUCAGGGUUGCCCCCAUUGUCCAAUAUUCCCCACUGCUGCCUCCCGUAGGAGUCUGGGCCGUGUCUCAGUCCCAGUGUGGCUGAUCAUCCUCUCAGACCAGCUACGGAUCGUCGCCUUGGUGAGCCGUUACCUCACCAACCAGCUAAUCCGACAUAGGCUCAUCCGAUAGCGCGAGGCCCGAAGGUCCCCCGCUUUCCCCCGUAGGGCGUAUGCGGUAUUAGCCUGGGUUUCCCCAGGUUAUCCCCCACUACCGGGCAGAUUCCUAUGCAUUACUCACCCGUCCGCCGCUCGCCACCAGGGAGCAAGCUCCCCGUGCUGCCGCUCGACUUGCAUGUGUUAGGCCUGCCGCCAGCGUUCAAUCUGAGCCAGGAUCAAACUCU